UACCUCAGUAACGGCGAGUGAAGCGGUAACAGCUCAAAUUUGAAAUCUGGGUCUUUCAGGCUCCGAGUUGUAAUUUGUAGAAGAUGCUUUGGGUGCGGCCCCGGUCUAAGUUCCUUGGAACAGGACGUCAUAGAGGGUGAGAAUCCCGUAUGUGAUCGGUGGCCUGCGCCCGUGUAAAGCUCUUUCGACGAGUCGGGUUGUUUGGGAAUGCAGCUCUAAAUGGGUGGUAAAUUUCAUCUAAAGCUAAAUAUUGGCCAGAGACCGAUAGCGCACAAGUAGAGUGAUCGAAAGAUGAAAAGCACUUUGGAAAGAGAGUUAAACAGUACGUGAAAUUGUUGAAAGGGAAGCGCUUGCAACCAGACUUGCGCGGGGCUGAUCAUCCGGGGUUCUCCCCGGUGCACUCGGCCCCGCUCAGGCCAGCAUCGGUUUCGGUGGUUGGAUAAAGGCCUUGGGAAUGUGACUCCUCUCGGGGAGUGUUAUAGCCCUCGGUGCAAUGCAGCCUACCGGGACCGAGGACCGCGCUUCGGCUAGGAUGCUGGCGUAAUGGUUGUAAGCGACCCGUCUUGAAACACGGACCAAGGAGUCUAACAUCUAUGCGAGUGUUUGGGUGUCAAACCCAUACGCGUAAUGAAAGUGAACGGAGGUGAGAACCCUUAAGGGUGCAUCAUCGACCGAUCCUGAUGUCUUCGGAUGGAUUUGAGUAAGAGCAUAGCUGUUGGGACCCGAAAGAUGGUGAACUAUGCCUGAAUAGGGUGAAGCCAGAGGAAACUCUGGUGGAGGCUCGCAGCGGUUCUGACGUGCAAAUCGAUCGUCAAAUUUGGGCAUAGG
This 828-nucleotide ribosomal RNA is filed under the name Pezicula pseudocinnamomea. Its description in RNAcentral is "eukaryotic LSU rRNA". It matches the Rfam family "Eukaryotic large subunit ribosomal RNA", at positions 76 to 921 of the family's 3401-position model. Lineage: Eukaryota; Fungi; Ascomycota; Leotiomycetes; Helotiales; Dermateaceae. The record is from RNAcentral.